AUUGAACGCUGGCGGCAUGCUUUACACAUGCAAGUCGAACGGUAACAGGCCUUCGGGUGCUGACGAGUGGCGAACGGGUGAGUAAUGCAUCGGAACGUACCCAGAGUAGGGGGAUAACGCAGCGAAAGCUGUGCUAAUACCGCAUGUGAUCUGAGCAUGAAAGCGGGGGACCGAGCAGCACUUUUUGGCCUCGCCCCUUUGGAGCGGCCGAUGUCGGAUUAGCUAGUUGGUGGGGUAAAGGCCUACCAAGGCGACGAUCCGUAGCUGGUCUGAGAGGACGACCAGCCACACUGGGACUGAGACACGGCCCAGACUCCUACGGGAGGCAGCAGUGGGGAAUUUUGGACAAUGGGCGCAAGCCUGAUCCAGCAAUGCCGCGUGCGGGAAGAAGGCCUUCGGGUUGUAAACCGCUUUUGGCAGGAACGAAACGGUGUCCGCUAAUACCGGGCGCUAAUGACGGUACCUGCAGAAUAAGCACCGGCUAACUACGUG
This 492-nucleotide ribosomal RNA is filed under the name uncultured bacterium. RNAcentral's name for it is "partial 16S ribosomal RNA". It matches the Rfam family "Bacterial small subunit ribosomal RNA", at positions 30 to 507 of the family's 1533-position model. The record is from RNAcentral.